Molecule: ribosomal RNA, 606 nt
Filed under: uncultured bacterium
Lineage: Bacteria
Description: bacterial SSU rRNA
Rfam family: Bacterial small subunit ribosomal RNA
Source: RNAcentral
UAACGGCUCACCAUGGCGAUGAUGUCUAGGGGUUCUGAGAGGAAGGCCCCCCACACUGGGACUGAGACACGGCCCAGACUCCUACGGGAGGCAGCAGUGAGGAAUAUUGGACAAUGGAUGGAAAUCUGAUCCAGCCAUGCCGCGUGCAGGAAGACGGCCCUAUGGGUUGUAAACUGCUUUUAUACGGGAGCAAUAAGGUCUACGUGUAGACUGAUGAGAGUACCGUAUGAAUAAGCAUCGGCUAACUCCGUGCCAGCAGCCGCGGUAAUACGGAGGAUGCGAGCGUUAUCCGGAUUUAUUGGGUUUAAAGGGUGCGUAGGCGGCCUUGUAAGUCAGCGGUGAAAUUUUGCAGCUUAACUGUAAAAGUGCCGUUGAUACUGUGAGGCUAGGAUUUGGUUGCUGUGGGUGGAAUGUGUGGUGUAGCGGUGAAAUGCUUAGAGAUCACACAGAAUAUCGAUUGCGAAGGCAGCUCACAAAGCCAAGAUUGACGCUGAGGCACGAAAGUGUGGGGAUCAAACAGGAUUAGAUACCCUGGUAGUCCACACUGUAAACGAUGAUAACUCGCUGUUUUGCGAUAUACAGCACGGUGGCCAAGCGAAAGCGAUA